AGGAAUCUGCCUGGUAGUGGGGGAUAACGUUCGGAAACGGACGCUAAUACCGCAUACGUCCUACGGGAGAAAGCAGGGGACCUUCGGGCCUUGCGCUAUCAGAUGAGCCUAGGUCGGAUUAGCUAGUUGGUGGGGUAAUGGCUCACCAAGGCUACGAUCCGUAACUGGUCUGAGAGGAUGAUCAGUCACACUGGAACUGAGACACGGUCCAGACUCCUACGGGAGGCAGCAGUGGGGAAUAUUGGACAAUGGGCGAAAGCCUGAUCCAGCCAUGCCGCGUGUGUGAAGAAGGUCUUCGGAUUGUAAAGCACUUUAAGUUGGGAGGAAGGGUUGUAGAUUAAUACUCUGCAAUUUUGACGUUACCGACAGAAUAAGCACCGGCUAACUCUGUGCCAGCAGCCGCGGUAAUACAGAGGGUGCAAGCGUUAAUCGGAAUUACUGGGCGUAAAGCGCGCGUAGGUGGUUUGUUAAGUUGGAUGUGAAAUCCCCGGGCUCAACCUGGGAACUGCAUUCAAAACUGACUGACUAGAGUAUGGUAGAGGGUGGUGGAAUUUCCUGUGUAGCGGUGAAAUGCGUAGAUAUAGGAAGGAACACCAGUGGCGA
RNAcentral lists this ribosomal RNA (603 nucleotides) under uncultured bacterium. Its description in RNAcentral is "bacterial SSU rRNA". It matches the Rfam family "Bacterial small subunit ribosomal RNA", at positions 119 to 718 of the family's 1533-position model. The record is from RNAcentral.